CUUCCUACUGACUGUCUCUGUACAUUUGAAAUGGCAGAAAGAGAGCUCAUAGGAGCUCGGCCGAGAGGAGAAAAGAGGCUCGGGAGAGAGAGCUAUGAGCUAGAGAGAUUGAGAGAAAGCUUGCGAGAGAGAGAGUGAGAGCGCGAGAGGGAGGUAGCUACGCUCGGCCAUGGAAGAAGCAGCCUUGAGCUGCUGUUGCAAUGACCAAAAGAAGCAAGGCCAAUCGGCCAUGGGGUCGCGAAGAAGCAGCAGCAACCACCGCGGUGAUGAGCGGCGAUGUGCUUGCCGAAGAAGGCCGAAAGCAGCAAAGGCAACGGCGGCCAUGGCUGGUUGCAACGAUGCUGAAAGCAUCGGCCAUGGCAGAGACGGUUGCUGCGGCCAGAGGCAGCGGCGCUUGCAGCAAGCUUAGCCGGCUACGGAGGUUGCUCGGAGCAGCAGCGGCGUGGGGAGCGACCAGCUGUGGUCGCGAUCAGCUGUGAGGCAUCGGCAGCCGCGGCUGCGGUAGCAGCGGGCGGAGCCGGGAGCAACAGCCACGGUCGUUGGCGCUCGUGAUGGUGGAGACCGGUGGAGGCAAUGCUGGAAGGUGGCUCACGGCCGUGCGCAGCAGCUGGAACGGACCUGUUUGCACGCGAGGAAGAAGCAGCCGCGGGGAGGAGGAAGAUGAACAGUGCGCGUGCAGGGGGAGGUGCGGGAAGAAGAGAAAGAAAAUAAGGAGAAAAGAAAAAAAGAAAUAAAGGAAAAAGAAAAUAAAGAAAAUUUGGGAAAAAUCUGAAAAAAUAGGAGGAAAUUCCAGAAAAUUCUAGAAAAAGUCUGAAAAUUAUUUGGGGACACGAGGAGCGUGUCAGAGGCUUGAGAUCGAGAUCUUUGGUACAAGUGGCAGCUCGAGAGCCAACGCCAGUGUGGGCGUCUGAUCGGUUUUCUUCUCCAAAUUAAUCAAGGUUCGACCGGAGGGACGGUGAUCCUAGAAGAACUUGAGAUUCAGGCUGGAAUUCGUGCCGAGGCAAAGAUGAAGCUUCGAGCCAGAUGAUGCAAGUUCGGAUGCAAGCAGGGAUGGCGUCGGGAGGUCGUUGAGGCAACUAGCUGAGUUGCUGAGUUAUGUAUUUUUAAUAUUGCUUGUAUGUAGCCAGGGGGCGUGGUGUAUGUAUACCCUUGUGAGUAAAUGUCUGUGUUUUUGAGCUUAAAUGUAUUCAAUUGUGUAAUCAUCAUAGUGUGAUAGAUGAUUGUGAGAUUGCUUGUUGAAUGUGGCAUAGUUGGUAAAGCCAAGUUUCGGACCGAGUCAAGAUCAGCAAGGUAUGUUCUCAUAAAUCCCCAAUACUCAGCGAAGUGUUUGUAUGCUAGCUUUGUGCCUGGGUCACCUCUGGCUUGCUAUGGGGUGAGCUGAAGAGAGGUGAAGCUCACUCAGGUUUCGGGUCUUGGUCCGCUGGAUUUUUCUUAUUUGAGUUGGGACCGAUUCCUGAGUGGAGCGAAGGGAAGGACGAAGCCUAGUUCCCACGUAGGGCGUUUCCUGUUGAAACAUAGUCCAACCCUUCAGUUGUGGUUGUCGGGUGAGUAAUCUGGUCGAUUAUUUACCGGUGGCGCCUGUAAGUGGGAGCGGGUCGUUACAACUUGGCACGGGACGAGGUGGCCAUAGCCCGGCAAGUUGGCUCCAUAUUUAUUGUGAGGUUUUGUCUAUGUGAUACACUUUGGCAUGUGUUGAUUUAUGGCUCGCGAGCCUAUGAGACUUGAUUUUGAUAUUACAUUUAUAUGCACAUUUGCAUAAUAGUACAUGGUGGCAUGAUACAUUUAACUUGGAAUUGAUCAAGUCUUAAAAUGUGAUAUUUGUAUACAUCAGUGAUGUUCUGGAGUACUCUCUUUGGUGUCACCUUAUUCUUGGUUCAUGAUCAUUGUUUAUUACCUUAGAACUUGCUGAGCCUUGUGGCUCACUUGAUCUUCUUUGCCAUUCCAGGUAAAGGGAAAGCUAUUAUUGAGGCUGAGUCCAGUGGGACUAAAGCCUGAGGAUAAAGGUGUAUGGGGGCGCGUCCUAACUUGAAGAUCCUGUUAGCAUUUUGGUGAGACUUGAGAUGAAAUGAGUCUUAUUUUGUUAGUUAACAUUAGAGUCUCUUAUCUAUUUUGUAUGGCCGUUGAGCCCGACUCUUGAGCUAUUGGAAGUGUCAUUGAACUUAAGCAUGGUUUCCGCUGCUAAUGAAUGAAAUGAGUUGUUUGUUUAA
Long non-coding RNA from Diospyros lotus (date-plum), 2207 nucleotides. RefSeq lists it as uncharacterized. The record is from RefSeq and is a predicted model, not a curated record. Lineage: Eukaryota; Viridiplantae; Streptophyta; Magnoliopsida; Ericales; Ebenaceae. The transcript is spliced from 3 exons.